RNAcentral lists this ribosomal RNA (1366 nucleotides) under uncultured bacterium. Its description in RNAcentral is "16S ribosomal RNA". It matches the Rfam family "Bacterial small subunit ribosomal RNA". The record is from RNAcentral.
AGAGUUUGAUCCUGGCUCAGGAUUACGCUGGCGGCGUGCUUAACACAUGCAAGUCGAACGGAGCAGAUUUAUCUGCUUAGUGGCGGACGGGUGAGUAACGCGUGGGUAACCUGCCUUGUACAGGGGGACAACAGUUGGAAACGACUGCUAAUACCGCAUAAGCGCACAGAGCUGCAUGGCUCAGGGCGAAAAGAAUUAUCGGUACAAGAUGGACCCGCGUCUGAUUAGCUAGUUGGUGAGGUAACGGCUCACCAAGGCGACGAUCAGUAGCCGAUCUGAGAGGAUGACCGGCCACAUUGGGACUGAGACACGGCCCAAACUCCUACGGGAGGCAGCAGUGGGGAAUAUUGCACAAUGGGGGAAACCCUGAUGCAGCGACGCCGCGUGAGUGAAGAAGUAUUUCGGUAUGUAAAGCUCUAUCAGCAGGGAAGAAAAUGACGGUACCUGACUAAGAAGCACCGGCUAAAUACGUGCCAGCAGCCGCGGUAAUACGUAUGGUGCAAGCGUUAUCCGGAUUUACUGGGUGUAAAGGGAGCGCAGGUGGCUUGGCAAGCCAGAAGUGAAAGCCCGGGGCUUAACCCCGGGACUGCUUUUGGAACUGUUGAGCUGGAGUGCAGGAGGGGCAAGCGGAAUUCCUGGUGUAGCGGUGAAAUGCGUAGAUAUCAGGAGGAACACCGGUGGCGAANGCGGCUUGCUGGACUGUAACUGACACUGANGCUCGANAGCGUGGGGAGCAAACAGGAUUAGAUACCCUGGUAGUCCACACGGUCAGAUGAUGCAUACUAGGUGCUGGGGAGCGAAGCUCCUCGGUGCCGCCACUUACGCAUUAAGUAUUCCACCUGGGGAGUACGACAGCCAGUAUAUAACUCAAAGGAAUGCACGAGGACCAGCACAAGCGGUGGAGCAAGUGAUUUAAUUGGAAGCUACGAGUAGGACACUACCAGCUUUUGACAUCCCGAUCGAUAAGGGGUAAUGCCCAUAGCCCUUCGGGGGAACGGAGACAGGGAUGCAUGGUCUCGUCAGGUGCGUAUAGUGAGAUGUUGGGCUAACUCCAGCAACGAGGGCAACCCUCAUCCUCAAUAGGCAGCAUCAUAGAUGGACACUCGUGGGGAGACUGUCCGGGAUAACCGGGAGGAAGUUGGGGAUGACGUCAUAUCAUCAGGCCCCAUAUGAGCAGGAUUACACACGUGGUACGAUGGCAUACACAGAGAGAAGCGAAGCCGUGAGAUCGAUCAAACCUCAAAAAUGACGUCUCAGACCGGACAGUAGUCCCCAACUCGACUACACGAAGCUGGAAUCGGUAGUAAUAUCGAAUCAGAAUGUCGCGCAGAAUACGUUCACCGGGUCCAGUACACACCGCCAGUCA